Molecule: ribosomal RNA, 249 nt
Filed under: uncultured microorganism
Description: partial 16S ribosomal RNA
Rfam family: Bacterial small subunit ribosomal RNA
Source: RNAcentral
GAGUUUGAUCCUGGCUCAGAUUGAACGCUGGCGGUAUGCUUAACACAUGCAAGUCGAACGGUAACAGGAGAGAGCUUGCUCUUUUGCUGACGAGUGGCGGACGGGUGAGUAAUGCGUAGGAAUCUGCCUAGUAGUGGGGGACAACGUGUGGAAACGCACGCUAAUACCGCAUACGCCCUACGGGGAAGCGGGGAGUCUUCGGACCUCGCGCUAUUAGAUGAGCCUACGUUAGAUUAGCUAGUUGGUGGG